RNAcentral lists this ribosomal RNA (1533 nucleotides) under Escherichia coli. RNAcentral describes it as "16S ribosomal RNA from Escherichia coli (PDB 5U4I, chain a)". It matches the Rfam family "Bacterial small subunit ribosomal RNA". Lineage: Bacteria; Pseudomonadati; Pseudomonadota; Gammaproteobacteria; Enterobacterales; Enterobacteriaceae. The record is from RNAcentral.
AAUUGAAGAGUUUGAUCAUGGCUCAGAUUGAACGCUGGCGGCAGGCCUAACACAUGCAAGUCGAACGGUAACAGGAAGAAGCUUGCUUCUUUGCUGACGAGUGGCGGACGGGUGAGUAAUGUCUGGGAAACUGCCUGAUGGAGGGGGAUAACUACUGGAAACGGUAGCUAAUACCGCAUAACGUCGCAAGACCAAAGAGGGGGACCUUCGGGCCUCUUGCCAUCGGAUGUGCCCAGAUGGGAUUAGCUAGUAGGUGGGGUAACGGCUCACCUAGGCGACGAUCCCUAGCUGGUCUGAGAGGAUGACCAGCCACACUGGAACUGAGACACGGUCCAGACUCCUACGGGAGGCAGCAGUGGGGAAUAUUGCACAAUGGGCGCAAGCCUGAUGCAGCCAUGCCGCGUGUAUGAAGAAGGCCUUCGGGUUGUAAAGUACUUUCAGCGGGGAGGAAGGGAGUAAAGUUAAUACCUUUGCUCAUUGACGUUACCCGCAGAAGAAGCACCGGCUAACUCCGUGCCAGCAGCCACGGUAAUACGGAGGGUGCAAGCGUUAAUCGGAAUUACUGGGCGUAAAGCGCACGCAGGCGGUUUGUUAAGUCAGAUGUGAAAUCCCCGGGCUCAACCUGGGAACUGCAUCUGAUACUGGCAAGCUUGAGUCUCGUAGAGGGGGGUAGAAUUCCAGGUGUAGCGGUGAAAUGCGUAGAGAUCUGGAGGAAUACCGGUGGCGAAGGCGGCCCCCUGGACGAAGACUGACGCUCAGGUGCGAAAGCGUGGGGAGCAAACAGGAUUAGAUACCCUGGUAGUCCACGCCGUAAACGAUGUCGACUUGGAGGUUGUGCCCUUGAGGCGUGGCUUCCGGAGCUAACGCGUUAAGUCGACCGCCUGGGGAGUACGGCCGCAAGGUUAAAACUCAAAUGAAUUGACGGGGGCCCGCACAAGCGGUGGAGCAUGUGGUUUAAUUCGAUGCAACGCGAAGAACCUUACCUGGUCUUGACAUCCACGGAAGUUUUCAGAGAUGAGAAUGUGCCUUCGGGAACCGUGAGACAGGUGCUGCAUGGCUGUCGUCAGCUCGUGUUGUGAAAUGUUGGGUUAAGUCCCGCAACGAGCGCAACCCUUAUCCUUUGUUGCCAGCGGUCCGGCCGGGAACUCAAAGGAGACUGCCAGUGAUAAACUGGAGGAAGGUGGGGAUGACGUCAAGUCAUCAUGGCCCUUACGACCAGGGCUACACACGUGCUACAAUGGCGCAUACAAAGAGAAGCGACCUCGCGAGAGCAAGCGGACCUCAUAAAGUGCGUCGUAGUCCGGAUUGGAGUCUGCAACUCGACUCCAUGAAGUCGGAAUCGCUAGUAAUCGUGGAUCAGAAUGCCACGGUGAAUACGUUCCCGGGCCUUGUACACACCGCCCGUCACACCAUGGGAGUGGGUUGCAAAAGAAGUAGGUAGCUUAACCUUCGGGAGGGCGCUUACCACUUUGUGAUUCAUGACUGGGGUGAAGUCGUAACAAGGUAACCGUAGGGGAACCUGCGGUUGGAUCA